CAUCGGUGGUUAAUGAGAUGGGUGGACUCCUUAUAAGGCUUGGACAAUCCUCCUCCCUUUGAGCCAGCUUUUGGAGUGUGAGUUAAGCCUAAGACCUAAUUUAACAAGAACUACAAGAGGAAGAGAGGAGAUAUUUCAAUAUGACAAUUUAUAAAUAAAAAAAAAUGCUUGGCCUAUUAUGUAGGAGGCUUGCUAGGCUCUCAAUCACUUUCAUCAAUUUUUUAGACAAUUUCUUAUGUCAUAUGUUAAUUUUAUUUGUUCAAUUCACUUUUGGAAAAUGAGGCAGAUCUGCAGAACAAAAGACAAUUCACGAGUGGCUUACCGUAACUUCUUCUAGGAAUGCAAAAUGGUGGUGUUCGACAUUUUACAUUAUUACAGCUAUGGUUGGAACCAGUGUCCUCAAUCUUCCUUAUUCUAUGUCUCACCUUGGAUGGGACCUGGCGUGCUGUAACGGUGCUGGUGAAUAUCUUGGAUUAUAACUUUGUACACUUUAUGUCAAAUGAUUGAGAUGCACAAAAUGGCCCCAGUAAAACGCUUCUAUAUAUAUCAUGAGUUGGGCAGUAUGCUUUUGGAAAAAGCUUGGGAUAUGGUGGUGCCCCAACAGUUACUCUGCAAUUGGCUGAGGGGAUUCAACUAAGCGUGGAGCUAGAUGUGGACUAUAGCUACUCCGCUAAAAUCAAUUUGGGAGUCAUUUUUGACUUUUUCACAUUGAGAGAUGUGGAUUUUGCUUACGGUGGUUAUAAUGUGGUGUAGGAGAUUCAAGCUACAAUUCUUUCAAUGACAUAGUAGCCUUCCAAAGGACCCAUGUGGAGGUGGUUACGGUGGUUAGAAUGUUGCUUGAGUACUUGAGCUUCAGUUCAUCCUUCUAAUCAAGUUGCUCUGCACAAGUUCUACUUCUGAAAUUAGAAAAAUUGGUAUAAUAUAUUUACUUAUAAAAUCUAUAAAUACAAAUUAUGUUGUAAAAUUAAAAAUAAUUGAAGUUGAAGACUUUGUUGCUGGAAAAGUGUAAAGGAAAUAUUAUGCUCUAGCAAGGUAUUUGACGCCGGAAAAGGCCAAGAGGAUCUAUUUUUUAAUGCUAAGCAAAUUUGAAAACAGAAAUUAUAUGUACUUGAUAAGACAGGUCAAGGAAAGGUACAAGCAAAAAAAUAGAUGUGGAAGAAAACAAUAUGCUUAUAAGAAGAGUGAAGCGUAAUAUUGAAUUACAUGUACUAAUUCUACAUGUAGGCAAUAGGAA
Solanum tuberosum (potato) is the source of this 1234-nucleotide long non-coding RNA. RefSeq lists it as uncharacterized. NCBI's taxonomy places the organism in Eukaryota, Viridiplantae, Streptophyta, Magnoliopsida, Solanales, Solanaceae. The record is from RefSeq and is a predicted model, not a curated record. The transcript is spliced from 3 exons.